UACGUAGGGGGCAAGCGUUGUCCGGAUUUAUUGGGCGUAAAGAGCGUGUAGGCGGCCAGGUGGGUCAGCUGUGAAAACUCGAGGCUCAACCUCGAGAUGUCGGCUGAAACCAUCUGGCUAGAGUCCGGAAGAGGAGAAUGGAAUUCCCGGUGUAGCGGUGAAAUGCGCAGAUAUCGGGAAGAACACCCGUGGCGAAGGCGGUUCUCUGGGACGGUACUGACGCUGAGACGCGAAAGCGUGGGGAGCGAACAGG
Molecule: ribosomal RNA, 253 nt
Filed under: uncultured bacterium
Lineage: Bacteria
Description: partial 16S ribosomal RNA
Rfam family: Bacterial small subunit ribosomal RNA
Source: RNAcentral